This 468-nucleotide ribosomal RNA is filed under the name uncultured bacterium. RNAcentral describes it as "partial 16S ribosomal RNA". It matches the Rfam family "Bacterial small subunit ribosomal RNA", at positions 28 to 507 of the family's 1533-position model. The record is from RNAcentral.
GACGAACGCUGGCGGCGUGCUUAACACAUGCAAGUCGAACGGAAAGGCCCUGCUUUUGUGGGGUGCUCGAGUGGCGCACGGGUGAGUAACACGUGUGUAACCUGCCCUUGACUUUGGGAUAACUUUAGGAAAAUGGGGCUAAUACCGGAUAGGAGAUCUUGCUGCAUGGUGGGGGUUGGAAAGUUUCGGCGGUUGGGGAUAGACUCGAGGCUUAUCAGCUUGUUGGUGGGGUAGUGGCUUACCAAGGCUUUGACGGGUAGCCGGCCUGAGAGGGGGACCGGCCACAUUGGGACUGAGAUACGGCCCAGACUCCUACGGGAGGCAGCAGUGGGGAAUAUUGCACAAUGGGCGGAAGCCUGAGGCAGCAACGCCGCGUGCGGGAUGACGUCCUUCUGGUGGUAAACCGCUGUCGCCGGUAACGAAGCGAGAGUGACGGUAAUGGGUAAAGAAGCACCGGCUAACUACGUG